CCUACGGGUGGCAGCAGUGAGGAAUAUUGGUCAAUGGACGAGAGUCUGAACCAGCCAAGUAGCGUGAAGGAUGACUGCCCUAUGGGUUGUAAACUUCUUUUAUAAAGGAAUAAAACGAGGCACGUGUGCCUUUUUGCAUGUACUUUAUGAAUAAGGAUCGGCUAACUCCGUGCCAGCAGCCGCGGUAAUACGGAGGAUCCGAGCGUUAUCCGGAUUUAUUGGGUUUAAAGGGAGCGUAGGUGGAUUGUUAAGUCAGUUGUGAAAGUUUGCGGCUCAACCGUAAAAUUGCAGUUGAAACUGGCAGUCGUGAGUACAGUAGAGGUGGGCGGAAUUCGUGGUGUAGCGGUGAAAUGCUUAGAUAUCACGAAGAACUCCGAUUGCGAAGGCAGUUCACUGGACUGCAACUGACACUGAGGCUCGAAAGUGUGGGUAUCGAACAGGAUUAGAUACCCGGGUAGUC
This 460-nucleotide ribosomal RNA is filed under the name uncultured bacterium. RNAcentral describes it as "partial 16S ribosomal RNA". It matches the Rfam family "Bacterial small subunit ribosomal RNA", at positions 338 to 795 of the family's 1533-position model. The record is from RNAcentral.